CCUACGGGAGGCAGCAGUGGGGAAUAUUGGACAAUGGGGGCAACCCUGAUCCAGCCAUGCCGCGUGUGUGAAGAAGGCCCUCGGGUUGUAAAGCACUUUCAGUGAGGAAGAACGCCUGGUGGUUAAUACCCAUCAGGAAAGAUAUCACUCACAGAAGAAGCACCGGCUAACUCCGUGCCAGCAGCCGCGGUAAUACGGAGGGUGCGAGCGUUAAUCGGAAUUACUGGGCGUAAAGCGCGCGUAGGUGGCUUGAUAAGCCGGUUGUGAAAGCCCCGGGCUCAACCUGGGAACGGCAUCCGGAACUGUCAAGCUAGAGUGCAGGAGAGGAAGGUAGAAUUCCCGGUGUAGCGGUGAAAUGCGUAGAGAUCGGGAGGAAUACCAGUGGCGAAGGCGGCCUUCUGGACUGACACUGACACUGAGGUGCGAAAGCGUGGGUAGCAAACAGGAUUAGAUACCCGGGUAGUC
Molecule: ribosomal RNA, 465 nt
Filed under: Vreelandella stevensii
Lineage: Bacteria; Pseudomonadati; Pseudomonadota; Gammaproteobacteria; Oceanospirillales; Halomonadaceae
Description: partial 16S ribosomal RNA
Rfam family: Bacterial small subunit ribosomal RNA
Source: RNAcentral